GAUGAACGCUGGCGGCGUGCCUAAUACAUGCAAGUCGAGCGAACGGACGAUAAGCUUGCUUCUCUGAUGUUAGCGGCGGACGUGUGAGUAACACGUGGAUAACCUACCUAUAAGACUGGGAUAACUUCGGGAAACCGGAACUAAUACCGGAUGAUAUUUUGAACCGCAUGGUUCAAAAGUGAAAGACGGUCUUGCUGUCACUUAUAGAUGUAUCCGCGCUGCAUUAGCUGGUUGGUAAGGUAACGGCUUACGAAGGCAACGAUGGAUAGCCGACCUGAGAGGGUGAUCGGCCACACUGGAACUGAGACACGGUACAGAAUCCUACGGGAGGCAGCAGUAGGGAAUGUUCCGCAAUGGGCGAAAUCCUGGCGGAGCAGCGCCGCGUGAGUGCUGAAGGUCUUCGGAUCGUAAAACUCUGUUAGUAGGGAAGACCAUAUGUGUAAGUAACUGUGCACAUCGUGACGGUACCUAAUCAGAAAGCAACGGCUAACUACGUG
RNAcentral lists this ribosomal RNA (497 nucleotides) under uncultured bacterium. Its description in RNAcentral is "partial 16S ribosomal RNA". It matches the Rfam family "Bacterial small subunit ribosomal RNA", at positions 28 to 507 of the family's 1533-position model. The record is from RNAcentral.